Molecule: ribosomal RNA, 27 nt
Filed under: Trichoderma harzianum
Lineage: Eukaryota; Fungi; Ascomycota; Sordariomycetes; Hypocreales; Hypocreaceae
Description: partial 18S ribosomal RNA
Source: RNAcentral
GUAGGKGAACCUGCGGAGGGAUCAUUA